GGAAUCUUCCACAAUGGACGAAAGUCUGAUGGAGCAACGCCGCGUGAGUGAAGAAGGGUUUCGGCUCGUAAAACUCUGUUGUUAAAGAAGAACAUAUCUGAGAGUAACUGUUCAGGUAUUGACGAUAUUUAACCAGAAAGCCACGGCUAACUACGUGCCAGCAGCCGCGGUAAUACGUAGGUCCCGAGCGUUGUCCGGAUUUAUUGGGCGUAAAGCGAGCGCAGGCGGUUUAAUAAGUCUGAAGUUAAAGGCAGUGGCUUAACCAUUGUUCGCUUUGGAAACUGUUAGACUUGAGUGCAGAAGGGGAGAGUGGAAUUCCAUGUGUAGCGGUGAAAUGCGUAGAUAUAUGGAGGAACACCGGUGGCGAAAGCGGCUCUCUGGUCUGUAACUGACGCUGAGGCUCGAAAGCGUGGGGAGCAAACA
RNAcentral lists this ribosomal RNA (423 nucleotides) under uncultured bacterium. RNAcentral describes it as "bacterial SSU rRNA". It matches the Rfam family "Bacterial small subunit ribosomal RNA", at positions 358 to 774 of the family's 1533-position model. The record is from RNAcentral.